CAAAAACAAAAUAUAAAUAAAGAGAAUCGGAGGGAAUAUAAAUCAAUUAUUCUUUUGUAUGAACUAAAAUUCCGAUUUUUCUAACACGAGCUAAAAAUAGAUAUAGAUACAACAAAUAUACAAUAUUUUUAAAAUGAAAAAAAGGUCAAAAUACCUUUUUACUAUUUGAAAAUAUUUGCUUAUACCCUCCAUCAUAUUAUUAGUCCGCAAUAAUCCCCGACAUCACAAAAUUGGUGUAAAAAUAUCUUUUACCGUUAGGACCCUGUACGAGUGGCAAAAUUAUUCCAUAUGGCAUAACAUAUUGCUGAUGUGGAUCCCCUUCAUUCCACAUGUUCCAUUUAUCCCUUUCCUAACUUCUUCUUCCACCACCACCUCCUUCUUCAGCUAACCACCACCAAUAUCAUAUCUUCCUCCACCACACACCUAUUCUUCCAACAUCAUCAGACCACUAGUAUUGACCAUAUUCUUUCACAAAAAAAUAGUCGAAAAUUUUUCAUUCCCGGAUUUGUUUCAGCUAAUGUGAAAUAGACCUAGGACUACUUGGCAACUAAUUAAACUCAAAGAAGUGAAAGAUGCUUUCUAGCUGCCAUAACAAGAAGGAAAAUCACACAAUUCAUGAUUUACUGAAAUACAGAGCAUAAUAAAAGUUUUUUCUGUGAUUGUACAUUCUAUUGGUUUCGAGUUCAAUGCUUUAUGAUUUUAGUGAGUAAAUAUUUUCUUUAUAAGCAGUUUUUGUCGCUAGUAUACUUUCUAAAAAGUGAAAGAAUAUCAUUUUUUGCUACCUUAUCUCACCUGCCUUGCUUAUUUUAUGAUAAAAGCAGUUUUAGGUUCCAUUUCCAGCUAUAGAGCUCAGCUUUGUAUAGCAGAGAAAGUUAUGUUUAAUUAUAAUAUGAUAAGAAAAUUAGGACAAAUACCUGGCAAAUAUAACCAACUCCCCGUUGAAGCUGCUCAUCUUUGGCACUUUGGUAAAUCCGAAAAUGAAACCAAAAAUCAAAAUGUGCCAUUGAGUUUUUGGUGAAAGAAUGGUGGUCAAAACUAGUGGUUUGAUGGUGAUGGAAGAAUAAGUAGUGGUUGGUGAAGAGGAAGGUGGUGGUGGAAGAAGAAGUUGUUGGGGUGGGGUAAAAUAGGAUAGGUGUGAUUUUUUAACUAAAAAUAGGGAUUUCGGUUAAAGUUUAUUUUUUGAAGAAUUCGGUUACCGAUAACCAAGUAAAAAUAGAAAUAAUUGAUGUAAAUAAUAGCUGGAUAGAAAGCAAAGUAAAUCAAUAUAUUCCAAUAGUAUUUUAUGUCCUUAAAGAUAUUCAUUCCUCACCUUUUAUAGCUAUUUAUAAGUAAUAUAUUUUUUUCCUUUUAUAAUGGAGUUAUUAUGGACAAUUAAUGACAUUUAAUGUAACGUUAUAAUUGAAAAUCGUAACUUUUUUAAUACAUAUUCUAUAAUGUUUUCCGUAAUUAAAGCCUAUUAAUUACCAAUAAUAUGCAUAUAUAGCCCUUUUGAUAUUUAGGUUCAUUCUUCCGACGCCUCUUUAGAAUAUCAAGAGGUUCGAGCACCUAUCCCUUUUGGCUUUCUUAGAUUCUUAUCCGUGGCUGCUAAAACUCAUGCCUCUUCAACUAUUCUUCGCCAACUGUUAUUCCUUUACCAAUCCAUGUGUCAUGACAUGUCACCACAUAAUUAAUUCUAUACAUUAACUUGAUUUUUCCCAAUACAGAUAGUCUCCCCCACUUGUUAUUUAUUCAUCAAUAGAGUAUUUGGGAAGUAGAUCUCAUUAAAGCAUAAAUUUUUGCUGCCAUUAUAUCUUUUCUAGGAUUGAUGCUUCAUAUGUCACUUCCAUUUAAUGCUCGUGACACAUUGCAUCUUCUAGUUGAUUCUGCAACUUUUUAGCGUCUUUUAGGGCUUUUUUGCGACUUCAUCAAUUACGAAGCAAGAGCUUCCAUCAUGACAUUUCCAUCAUUACACCUUUUUCUUUGAUGGUUGCUUCUGAGUAUAAAUAUAGCUUUUAUCUUUGUCUUUCUCAUAAAAAUCUUAUAAUAUUCACUCUUGUUUUCUUCUUCCUCGUACUGCCAUGUCUUCUUCAAACCCUAAUCCUCGAAGAGUCCCCGUUCUUGAUGAUCUUCCUCUUGCUCCUGUUAGAAGCAGAAAAGGAGGAAGAUUAUGUAGUUUAGGGUCUUCAUCUAUACAUGGUAUUUCUUUACCUCUAGUGAGUUCUACUCCUCCUAUUAGAACAAAGGGCUCUCUCUCCUAUAGACCUUCAUCAAGAAGUAAAGAUUCUAAUGAACCCGUUCAUGAGCCAUUAGUAGAUGAAAUUGUUCAUGCUGAACUAUAUUUUUAUAUUGAUAGAGAAUCGAUUAUGAACCAAGAAAGAUUCUAAUGAACCCGUUCGUGAGCCAUUAGUAGAUGAAAUUGUUCAUGCUGAACUAUAUUUUUAUAUUGAUAGAGAAUCGAUUAUGAACCGUCCAUUGUUGAUGAUCUUCCUCUUGCUCCUGUUAUAAGCAGAAGAGGAGAAAGAUUACGUAGUUUAGGGUCUUCACCUAUUCGGGGUAUUUGUUUACCUCCAGUGAGUUUUACUCUUCCUUCUAGAACUAAGGUUCUCUUUCCCAUAGACCUUCAUCUAGAAGUAAAGAUUCUAAUGAACCCGUUCGUGAGCCUUUAGUAGAUGAAAUUGUCCCUGUUGAACUGUCUUUUACACUGAUAGAGAAUCGAUUAGGAACCAAGUUUCUUCUAUGUCUUCUUUAGAUCGUGCUGAUAUUUACCCUUCUCAAAUCAACAAAGGUAUUAUCUCUAUUAUUCAUAGGGAUUGUUGUUGGAGACCUGAUUUCCCUAUUAUAAUUCCUAAUGUGAACCAAAAAAUUACAUCUUACUUGACCGGGUUUUCUUUUGUCUAUACAUAUCCUUUACACUGAAUUUUAAACCCCCCGUUGAUCCUGUUAUCAUUGAAUUCUGUUAUAUUUUUGACAUUUGUCUAGGACAUAUUGGCCUCAUUGUGUGGAGGGUUGUUACUUGUUUAAGGCAUUCAACAAGGUUGGAUAACUUGCCUUCCACUUUUUUCCAUUUGAUGCAUCUCUACUCCCCUAAUCUUUUCUGUCAUGAGAUUUUUACUUUAGUGGCAAGAAGUAAGAGAGUGUUAGUUAGGCCAGAGGACGUUAAGGACCAAGGCUGGUAUGCCAGGUUUAUUGCUGCCCCCAGUGUUGGUUUAGUUGGCGAAGAAAAUGUUCCAUAUCCUGAAAAGUGAAAUUUUGCAUGUAAGUUUUUCUUUUACAACUUUCUCUAUAUUUUCCCUUUAUUUUUCCCCAUACUGUUUAUCUUUUUUGUUUUUUUUUUCCAACAGCUAUGGGAACUAUUGAUGAAAUUCCUAAUUUUUGUAGUUGGGUAGAAAAGUUAUUGAAAGUUUCUCCAAUGAAAGGUAGAUCUUGGAAAAAUCUUUUGCAUAUGUUUGGCUGGAAGGUUAAAACUCAUGGUAAAUACUUUACUCAUCUCCUUUUCAUAUUUUCAUUCACCUUACCCUUUGAAUUUGUUUUGACCCUUCUUUUUAUCAUGAUUUCCCAUUCGUGGUGUAAGUGCCGACGCAGUCGUGGUUUCCAGAGUUUCUUUGGAAUUGAUAUGGAAAAAUAUUUGCAACAAAAUUGGAAGCCAAGUGCUGCUCCUCUACCAAUUUUGAAGAAAUUCAAGAUGCCUGAUAUUCUAAAAUACGAUGGAACAACUGAUCCACGAGACCAUUUAACUACAUUCACAACCAGUGUAAAGGCAAAGACUUGACCAAACAAGAAAUUGAAUCAGUAUGGGUCAAAAUAUUUGGUGAAACACUCACUAAGGGAGUAUUAACAUAGUAUUCUCUUUUACCCUAAAAUUUCAUAAAUUCUUUUGCUGAGCUUGCAGAUUCAUUUAUUAAAGUACACUCGGGAGCUCAAAAAGUCAAAAAAAGAAUGAAAGAUAUUUUCAAAAUAAAGCAAGGAGAUCCGAAGUUUCUUAGAGAAUUUGUAGAUAGAUUCCAACGUAAAAGGAUGUUGUUGUCACACAUACCUGAUAACGGGGCAGCUAUGGCUUUUGCGAGUAAUCUAAAUGAGAAAAGUUCAGAAGCCAGGAGAAACUCAAAGAAAGUCUACAAGAAUUUCCAGCAACAACUUGGAAAGAUGUUUACAACAAGUACUACACGAAGCUGCGGAUAGAAGAAGAUACCAUCACUCAGUCCCAAAAAGAGGAGAAGGAUCAAGACAUGCUGAAACUGAAAAAGGUCCAGUAAAAAUAGAUACGAGCCCUACAUGGGACCAGCAGAAAUAGACUCGCGUUCAAAGUAGGAUAACUAAAGGUACGAUCAUAAACGAGAGAUAGAGAAUUAGGCUCAUCAUCAAGGUUUAGAAAAGAGCGAAACACGCGAGAGAUGCAAAAUGAUGAUAGAGGCUCGGCAAAGUUUGGCGGUUAAAAUUUCAAUGUUAGCACAUUAGAGUUAGUAGCAGUAUUAAGAAGCAUGUGAGAUAAGGUGCGAUGGUCAAAGGAAAUAAGAUCAAACCUGAGUAGGCGAAAUUCUGAUUUCUGGUGCGAGUUUCACAACAAUCAUGGUCACAAGAUGGCAGAUUAUAGAUUGCUACAAGGUGAAGUUCACCAUUUGUUAAAGCAAGGAUAUCUAACCGAAUUGAUUAGGGAAAACGGUAAGCAAGCAUAUAUGAAGAACAUGCAGGAACCCCCUAAACCUCCUUCAACAAAAAGGACUGGUAAUGUUAUAAGCAGAGGAGAAGAAAUUAAUGGUGUGACAUAUACAACAACCAAGAAAGUUUCAAAAAUUACAGUCACACACGGGAAGCGAGUUCGACGUGUUUUUGAAGACGAAAGUAUUACAUUUUAUAAUUCAGAUGGUAUACUAACCCCACACAAUGACCCACUGGUAAUAUCUUUACUUGUACAUGACACUAAUGUAAAACGAGUUUUUAUUGAUCCAAGUAGCUCCGUGAAUAUCAUUUUUCUAAGAGUAGUAAAUAAAAUGCAAGCUGAAGAUAAGCUGAUACCCAAGGCGCACACCUUAUCUGGUUUUGAAAAUUCAAGCAUCGUAACAAAAGGAGAGAUCGUACUUAUCACAUUCACAUAAUGAGUUGUCAAAGACGAAAUUUCAAGUGGUAGAGAUGGACAUGACUUACAAAAUGAUUCUUGGUAGACCAUGGAUUCACGAAUUGGAUGUUGUGCCAUAUACCUGCAUCAAGUUAUUAAAUUUCCUUCACAAUAGGGAAUACAACAAAUUUGCAGUGAUCAACAAACUUCUAGGAGCAUAAAUUCCAUAGCAGAUUCAAGCACAAAAAAUGAAGAAAAAUAACAAUCAGAAAAUCCAGUUGAGGAUGCUGCAGCACAAGCCUCGACUGAACACGAGCAAACAGAUGUAGACUCGAGCCUCGAUUCCAUCCAAGAGCCAGAGGAAAUGAAAAAACUCAAAACGACGAUUGAGGAAUUGGAAGAUGUAGUAUCAUUUGCACCUCGUCCUGAAAGGAAGGUCUACACUGGGCCAACCUAGGCCACAGAAUAAAAGGUAAGUUAACUGAAUUUUUGAAAACUAACGUGGAUUGUUUUGCUUGGUUCCAUUCUGAUAUGACAUGAAUACCUCCGGAAGUAAUGACUCAUAAGUUAAAUGAAGAUACAUCAUAUCUACCUUGUAACACCUCAUUUUACACUACACCCCCGGGAAGGUGUAUCCAACUAAAGUGACAAUUGAAAAAAGAUUAUUUAGUUAUUAAAUUCAGAGUCUUUACUUGGGAUAGUUUUAUGGUGUCCCAAGUCACUAGUUCAAAUCCCGAAUCGAGAAAAAGAUUGACUAUGUUUUACAGUCCGCGAACCAAAAAUUUGCGUAAGAAAUUCUGUAAACUCGGGAGAAGGUGUUAAGCAUUCCCGAGUUCCGUGGUUCUAGGACGGUCUCUCAACUGUUACAAUUAGCUCAAUUAUCUGACUUUAAUACAAGUUUUAUACCUAUGUGCAUUUUUAAACUUUAACCACUUUUAAUUAAUUUGAAGAAAAAUUCAACGUCACAUAAAACACGUUUUGAACCGCGUCACAUAAAUGUACCCACAAUCUGCAACAUAUUUUAUAUAAUUGUUAGGAUUUGGAUUUGAGUCAUAUUAAUGCGCACCCGAAUUUAGGAAGGUAUGUUAUUAAAAUAACGCGCCUAAAGCAACUACACAUUUUUAACUUUGCGAGGGCCACAGAAAAUUCACUAAAUGACACGCCUCAAAUUCUAAGGUUCAAAACAAGAUUAAUAAAACGAGGGCCAUGCAAUUGUCAUUCUUUUUGGCAUGGCGCACCUCAAUUCUAAUUUUAGAAAAGGGGAUGCAAACUACAUUCAGAGGGCCAUAGCUAUUUAUGUUGUCUAAUAUGGCUCACCUCAAUCUAUUUGUGAAGAGUUUAAUUUAAUUAAAGAAAAAUCCUAAAGAAAUUAAAAAGGUGUUCUAUGUUAAAGUUUAAACUCAAAAAAACGGAAUAAGUAAACAAAGGUCCAUUUCUCUUUUAAAGUAUGAGCUCAAUUACUUAAUAUACCUAGUAAACCAUUGAUUUUAAAACGAUUUGCACGCCCAAUUCGAAAAUGUUCUAGCUGAAAAAUGGGGACUCAGGAUCGAAUCCCUGAAGAGGAAGAUAAUAACAGUAGCUUCACAGUUAGUCCAAAUGGACCACAUGGCAUGGGUAAAAGUCAAGCCCAUCCUCUUUUGGGAUUUUCAGAAAAGAACAAAGAGACAUGAACAUGCAUUAUUAGGUCGUGAAUCCACUUUUACAGCUGAUUACAAAUCAACAAUGAAUCAUGGAUCUACUCUUUAAACAUAUUAACCUCUACACUAAUCAAAAAUCCUAACAUGGUUGCAAGCGGACGAUUAUUACAAUUUAAAUAGCAAAUUAACAGUCAAAUAACUAAAUUAAAAAAGCUUUCUGCAAUCAAAACUGAAAUGACAUCCAAACCAACAAACUUAAACAUGAACGAAAAAUACAAAAACCAAAUACUGAUUUAACCAAAUGGGCAGCUUAUGUGGCUAGCAUAGUCUAAAUUUUAAUACUUAUGCAGUUCUUCCCCAAACUCAUUGUUUAUUCAAUAAACUCCAUGAUAAUUAUACAAACUAAAACAAGUAAACUAAGCAUAAACUUAGAAAUUCCAGCACCAAGGUACAUAUAAGAAGCUCUGCAAAAAUUUUCAUCAUCACUACUACAUACAUCAAGCAUGCUUUAACACUUCAGCAGCUAUCAUAGCCAAGAGAAUACCUGGAAAUGAAAAAGGGGAGAAAGAAAUGAGGCAGCAAUAAGCAACAACAAACUAGUCCGUAAGCACCCACGAAUCAGUAAGCCAAGCAAAAAACCAACUGGACUUAGCCAAUGAAAUAGCAACUUUUCUGAAAACAACACUUCAAAACCAGCUUUUCAAGACCCAAAAAUCAAACUAUUUUAGCCCCCAGAUUAAACCAGCAAUUGUUUCAGAAUUAGAAAGCUUCAGAAAUCAGAAAAGAAAAUUGAUGGAACAGUGUUUUACUGAAGUUUUCAGCCGUUUGUAUUAUUUCUGAAUUUUUACUAUUAAAGUCUUUGCCUUGAAUUGCAAGAAAAUGAGUUUUUAUAGGUAAGGAAGUAGGGCAGCCCGUAGGAACUAGAUUUUACAUUCUGCCCCUUUUUAAUUUUGUUUUUUGCUUAGAAAUCCCUAGGCAAAUAUCGGAUUUUCCCCUUAAGUCCCUAAUCCAGCUUCUUAGAAGCUUCCAUUUAAUUUAUACCAAGAUUCCCCUAAGCUAACUUCCAAAACUACCCCUCAAGCCAUGGUUAUUUACCCUUCAGCUCUUGGGUCAAUGUGACCCAGUGACUUGGCUGAAUGAACAUGCCGCCCUUCUUUUUUAAAUGGGUCAGAGACCCAAAGCCUAAACCAAUAAACUGACCCAGCUAAGUUCUAUAUGCAUCUGAAAAACAAUAUGACACAAACAUUGAAACGACUUUCCUAAUCAACAAUCUAACUAAGCUACUGAUUAAUUAACACAAACCUGCAGGGAAUUAACUAAGUUUUCAAAGUGACCUAAUUAAAUUAAAGUAAGAGAUUAAAUUGAAUAACAACCAACAAUUUAGCCAUGCUUAACAAACUACAAAACUAGAGAAAUGGACUUGGAAAAUAAAGCUAACAACGAAUAGAACCACAUAAAUUAUCGUUCAACUAGGAAUUUUGGACACACAUCAUUUGAAUUGACUAGAGAAAAGAAAAAUAAAACAGAAGGAUAGAUGAGAAAGAAUGAAAGUUAAAGUGACACCAAACAUGGACAAUGCCAGAAAGAAAAACCUACCGACCAAAAGCUCGAAUCAGGGACUCGACCCUCUGAUUUCACCUCCAAAUAACGUUAAUCGCUUGUUCUUUGUCAAGAACAAGCGAACAACUUCAUUUUGAGACCAAAUCGACUUUGAACAUUAAGAAAUCGCUGGAGGAAGAUCCUCUCAUGAAUAAAUGCGACUUGGAUUCUAAGGCUCGAACCUAAUUCUGAGAUUCGAGAAGUUCUGGCCUUAGUUGAGAGGAUCGAAGUGGGGAUUUGGAAAGAGGGGAGUGAGGAGGUCAUGGGGUGUUAAUUUGAAGGUGAGAGGAGGUAGUGCCGGCGGCGGAGGUGGCUGGGAUUCUAGGGCGGCACUAGGGUUUAUUGUUGUGUCUCUGAAGAAUAGGGAAAGCGAGGGACACGAGAUGGGGGGUUUUGAGGAGGGGGUGGUCUUGUUUGGACAUUCUUAUAGUAAGGGAGGAUCAGUUCUUGACCAUUCGAUCAAAG
RNAcentral lists this long non-coding RNA (8733 nucleotides) under Nicotiana benthamiana. Its description in RNAcentral is "long non-coding RNA (NBEN_LNC032913)". Lineage: Eukaryota; Viridiplantae; Streptophyta; Magnoliopsida; Solanales; Solanaceae. The record is from RNAcentral.